Molecule: ribosomal RNA, 433 nt
Filed under: uncultured bacterium
Lineage: Bacteria
Description: partial 16S ribosomal RNA
Rfam family: Bacterial small subunit ribosomal RNA
Source: RNAcentral
AACGAACGCUGGCGGCAUGCCUAACACAUGCAAGUCGAACGAGACCUUCGGGUCUAGUGGCGCACGGGUGCGUAACGCGUGGGAACCUGCCCUUAGGUUCGGAAUAACUCCCCGAAAGGGGUGCUAAUACCGGAUAAUGUCUUCGGACCAAAGAUUUAUCGCCUUUGGAUGGGCCCGCGUUGGAUUAGCUAGUUGGUAGGGUAAAAGCCUACCAAGGCGAGGAUCCAUAGCUGGUCUGAGAGGAUGAGCAGCCACACUGGGACUGAGACACGGUCCAGACUCCUACGGGAGGCAGCAGUGGGGAAUAUUGGACAACGGGCGAAAGCCUGAUCCAGCACUGCCGGGUGAGUGAUGAAGGUCUUAGGGUUGUAAAGCUCGUUUACCCGGGAUGAUAAUGACGGUACCGGGAGAAUAAGCUCCGGCUAACUCCGUG